GACGAACGCUGGCGGCGUGCCUAAUACAUGCGAGUAGAACGCUGAAGAGAGGAGCUUGCUCUUCUUGGAUGAGUUGCGAACGGGUGAGUAACGCGUAGGUAACCUGCCUUGUAGCGGGGGAUAACUAUUGGAAACGAUAGCUAAUACCGCAUAACAAUGGAUGACACAUGUCAUUUAUUUGAAAGGGGCAAUUGCUCCACUACAAGAUGGACCUGCGUUGUAUUAGCUAGUAGGUGAGGUAAUGGCUCACCUAGGCGACGAUACAUAGCCGACCUGAGAGGGUGAUCGGCCACACUGGGACUGAGACACGGCCCAGACUCCUACGGGAGGCAGCAGUAGGGAAUCUUCGGCAAUAGGGGCAACCCUGACCGAGCAACGCCGCGUGAGUGAAGAAGGUUUUCGGAUCGUAAAGCUCUGUUGUAAGUCAAGAACGGGUGUGAGAGUGGAAAGUUCACACUGUGACGGUAGCUUACCAGAAAGGGACGGCUAACUACGUG
RNAcentral lists this ribosomal RNA (497 nucleotides) under uncultured bacterium. RNAcentral describes it as "partial 16S ribosomal RNA". It matches the Rfam family "Bacterial small subunit ribosomal RNA", at positions 28 to 507 of the family's 1533-position model. The record is from RNAcentral.